Molecule: ribosomal RNA, 271 nt
Filed under: uncultured bacterium
Lineage: Bacteria
Description: partial 16S ribosomal RNA
Rfam family: Bacterial small subunit ribosomal RNA
Source: RNAcentral
UACGUAGGUGGCGAGCGUUGUCCGGAUUUACUGGGCGUAAAGAGCGCGCAGGCGGUCGAUCAAGUCGGAUGUGAAAUCCCCCGGCUCAACUGGGGAGCGUCAUUCGAUACUGAUCGACUUGAAGGCAGGAGAGGGAAGCGGAAUUCCCGGUGUGGUGGUGAAAUGCGUAGAUAUCGAGAGGAACACCUGCGGCGAAGGCGGGUUGCUGGGCCGACACUGACGCUGAGGCGCGAAAGCUAGGGGAGCGAACGGGAUUAGAAACCCCUGUAGU